Molecule: long non-coding RNA, 498 nt
Organism: Perca fluviatilis (European perch)
Lineage: Eukaryota; Metazoa; Chordata; Actinopteri; Perciformes; Percidae
Exons: 4
Source: RefSeq, a predicted model, not a curated record
CCCGCCCUCUCUAGCAGGCGUCCUCAGUGCUCCAUAGUGGGCUACUUUGACCUGCAUGACCCCUCGCCAGAUGUAGUCUGUGUGGAUCUGGACACCAACACUAUCUACCUUUCUGAUGAAAAGAGACCCAGCUACUGGAAAGAAGUCCUGCAUGAGUCUGGUUAGCGCCCUGAGCAACUGGCACCACCAGCUGGCCACGGUUUGAGUACGUCAAACAAGACCGGAGAACUGGGCAGACUUCACCUGGUACAAGAAGAAGAAUCCAGCUGGAGAUGGAGAUCCAGGAGGCCUUCCUUCACUUCAUGGCCUCCAUCCUGCAGGGCUACCGCUCCUACCUCAAACCCCUCAGCCAGGCACCCUCCCAAAGACCACGGCCUGCAAGGUACAGGGACCCAGCAAGACUGAUGGUGCCUCGCUGCCAUCAGGAGAUGGAGCUAACCUGCCUCAGCAGCAGCAGCAGCAGCUGUAGCUUCAGCGUGGAAAGUCGUGCUGGGAUGC